CGGGUUCCGGGGGGAGUAUGGUCGCAAGGCCGAAACUUAAGGAAUUGACGGAAGGGCACCACCAGGAGUGGAAUCUGCGGCUUAAUUUGACCCAACGCGGGAAAACUCACCAGGUCAGGACACGGUAAGGAUUGACGGACUGAAGGCUCUUUCUCGAUUCCGUGGAAAGUGGUGCAUGGCCGUUUUUGGUUGGUGGAUCGAUCCGUCUGGUUAAUUCCGUUAACGAACGAGACCUCGGCACUCCGAAUAGCGCGGCGGACGUCGCGGCCUCCGGGCCGUCUUCCGCACGAGCUUCUUAGAGGGACCGUCCCCCGCCGGGGAAGGAGGUGCGAGGCAACGACAGGUCUGUGAUGCCCUUAGAUGUUCUGGGCCGCACGCGCAUUACACUGACGCGUCCAACGGGUGACUCCCGACCCGAAGGGGCCGGGGAAUCCGCAAGGCGCGUCGUGAUGGGGAUUGAACGUUGCAAUUGUUGUUCACGAACGAGGAAUUCCUAGUAGGCGCGGGUCAUCAACCCGCGCCGAUUACGUCCCUGCCC
RNAcentral lists this ribosomal RNA (538 nucleotides) under uncultured eukaryote. RNAcentral's name for it is "bacterial SSU rRNA". It matches the Rfam family "Eukaryotic small subunit ribosomal RNA", at positions 1108 to 1658 of the family's 1831-position model. The record is from RNAcentral.